AAGGAGGUGACCUGGGCUUCCUACACUGCAGUAAGCAGAUUUAUAAAACCGGAGUGGGUGUAUCACAAGCAGAAGCUCUCUGAUCUUCACAGCGGGAGGAAGGAGUUUCCUCCAACCAAAACCUGCAAUGGUGCCUGUCUCUCUGCUCCACACUGGAAUUCAGAGCCUAAAUGCCCCUGUGCAUCUGGAGUCCUGCCCGGAAGAAUAAUGGAUAGAGAAGGACAAGGGAUGUGGGGAGCAAAGAGGGAUGGUCAGGGGUCCUGAGCACCUGUGGGAAUGAGAAAUUGUUAUAAACAAUGUCCAGGCUUGGUGUGAGACCACAGGAAGAGGAGGUUGGACUGGAGGCACCUUUGGCUCAGGUCCUGCCAGGGAAGCUUCCUGCAGAUGAUCCCAUCUGGGUUCUAGCACUGGCUCUAAGGAGAUAUGGGGAAGAAACCUCUUCCUAGGAACCUCUUCCUGCUGGGAUGGACCAGCAACAUCCAGCUCAUCUGCUCUUGACCUUUGCAAACAAUAAAGGUUUCAUGACACUGUGA
Molecule: long non-coding RNA, 533 nt
Organism: Corvus hawaiiensis (hawaiian crow)
Lineage: Eukaryota; Metazoa; Chordata; Aves; Passeriformes; Corvidae
Exons: 2
Source: RefSeq, a predicted model, not a curated record